GACGAACGCUGGCGGCGUGCUUAACACAUGCAAGUCGAACGGAAAGGCCCUGCUUUUGUGGGGUGCUCGAGUGGCGAACGGGUGAGUAACACGUGAGUAACCUGCCCUUGACUUUGGGAUAACUUCAGGAAACUGGGGCUAAUACCGGAUAGGAGCUCCUGCUGCAUGGUGGGGGUUGGAAAGUUUCGGCGGUUGGGGAUGGACUCGCGGCUUAUCAGCUUGUUGGUGGGGUAGUGGCUUACCAAGGCUUUGACGGGUAGCCGGCAUGAGAGGGUGACCGGCCACAUUGGGACUGAGAGACGGCCCAGACUCCUACGGGAGGCAGCAGGGGGGAAUAUUGCACAAUGGGCGGAAGCCUGAUGCAGCAACGCCGCGUGCGGGAUGACGGCCUUCGGGUUGUGAACCGCAUUCGCCUGUGACGAAGCGUGAGUGACGGUAAUGGGUAAAGAAGCACCGGCUAACUACGUG
Molecule: ribosomal RNA, 468 nt
Filed under: uncultured bacterium
Lineage: Bacteria
Description: partial 16S ribosomal RNA
Rfam family: Bacterial small subunit ribosomal RNA
Source: RNAcentral